AUUGAACGCUGGCGGCAGGCCUAACACAUGCAAGUCGAGCGGAUGAAGGGAGCUUGCUCCUGGAUUCAGCGGCGGACGGGUGAGUAAUGCCUAGGAAUCUGCCUGGUAGUGGGGGAUAACGUCCGGAAACGGGCGCUAAUACCGCAUACGUCCUGAGGGAGAAAGUGGGGAUCUUCGGACCUCACGCUAUCAGAUGAGCCUAGGUCGGAUUAGCUAGUUGGUGGGGUAAAGGCCUACCAAGGCGACGAUCCGUAACUGGUCUGAGAGGAUGAUCAGUCACACUGGAACUGAGACACGGUCCAGACUCCUACGGGAGGCAGCAGUGGGGAAUAUUGGACGAUGGGCGAAAGCCUGAUCCAGCCAUGCCGCGUGUGUGAAGAAGGUCUUCGGAUUGUAAAGCACUUUAAGUUGGGAGGAAGGGCAGUAAGUUAAUACCUUGCUGUUUUGACGUUACCAACAGAAUAAGCACCGGCUAACUUCGUG
This 483-nucleotide ribosomal RNA is filed under the name uncultured bacterium. RNAcentral's name for it is "partial 16S ribosomal RNA". It matches the Rfam family "Bacterial small subunit ribosomal RNA", at positions 30 to 507 of the family's 1533-position model. The record is from RNAcentral.